This is a long non-coding RNA of Parus major (Great Tit), 3863 nucleotides long. RefSeq lists it as uncharacterized. The record is from RefSeq and is a predicted model, not a curated record. Lineage: Eukaryota; Metazoa; Chordata; Aves; Passeriformes; Paridae. The transcript has 2 exons.
UCAGGUGUAACUCAGUGUUUGUGUCCUGCAGGGAAUGAACUCCUCGAUUUUCCUCACCUUCCCCAGCACAUUUGGCUGAUUUGUUUCCUUUCCAAAUGAGAAUUUCUCUUCUUGCAGGGAGAACAGGAACCCUCACACCUCCUGGGCAGUGCACCUGAGGGCGACCUGGUGAGGUAAGAGGGGAGCUGAAGGUUUGGGAAGAUUAUAAAACAGAUGGAAGUUCUGGAAAAGCCAAAAAUCAGCUCCAGGACCUUCAGCAAAAGAAGGCAAGGGAGACCAAAAGUGUAACUGAGAGGGGUUGGGAGCUCUGUGUCCUCCUCACACGGGUGAGGUGAUGAACAGAGCUCAUCCCACACAAGCAGUGACAGCUCUGGUGCCUGAAUUUGGGGGGUCACAGGGGUCUCCUGCCCUGGAACAGCCUGUCCCUGAACCUGUGGCACUCUGGGGUUCUCAGCAGAACACCAAGGACCUGCUCCUGAGCCCUUCCACGCUCAUCUUCAAGGGAAGAGGAGCUCCAACCCUUCCCAGAGGAGCCAAGCUGGAAUUGCAGUUUUAUUGUUGCUCAUCCCAAAAUGCAGAUGAAGAUAUUUCAUUCUCCAUUUGCUGAAGGCAGAAGUGAUCUCUGCACAAUCUGCCCUUUCUCCCCUCAUUCCUACCAAACUUUCCUUUGGGUGUGUCCCACUUGCUGCCCACAUAUUUCCUCUUUUUCUCCAUAAUCUUCUGGCCCUUUCCCCCCCAGAUGUGAUGGAAAUGACAAUUUUGCCACGAUGAACACGGGGGCAGAACUUCCAGCACCAGCAGGGCCUGGUUUUCCAAACAGGCUGAGCUCCAGCAUUUGCACAGACACCACAAGAAGAAAAAUAAGGAAACGCCACCAGAAGGUUCUGACCCCUGCUGGGCCCUACUGGAGAGCACAGAACUUCCCUUAGGAGGAAGGUAUCAAAAAUGGGGCAGUAGUGGGGUUAAAACACCUGCUUGGAGGAGAUACCAAAGGGAAUGAGGGAAGGGGGAGAUGAUGGAGGAGAAACGCCUGCAGAAGGGAGAACAGGGAUGUUACAUCCAUCAGCCAUGCCGGGAAAAGUCAUUCCCUCCCCAUGCAAACCCUCAGGGGCGUUAUAAAUGCAAUGGAUGGGGACUGGGAGGGGAAAUGGCACUAAAAUAAAAGAGACACCUGCCUGGAGAUCAUCUCUGCCGGGACUCGAACCCGGAACCUCUGGAUUAGAAGUCCAGCGCGCUCGUCCAUUGCGCCACAGAGACCUCACCGUGAGGGGAGCGUCGGCUCCAGAACUGAAAAAUCCCCAGCGCCGCAGGGUCCGGCACCCACCGGCACCUCCCCGGCACGGCAGCACCUCCAGCAUCCCCUCCCUGCGCAGGGACACGGCAGGAAUAAUCCCAGGGAUCAUCCAUAUCUCGUCUGGCAGCGGGGAUGCAGCAAAAACCUGGAUGCAGGCUGGUAUCCGCCUCUCUGGCAACCUUUCCGCAGCAUCCCCGGCGCUCGGCUGCGGGCAGAGCUAAAUCCUGGAGCAGAGUUCAUCGCUGCAUCUCCCUCAGCAUCAGCAUCACGGCAUCCUCCUCGCUGCAGAAGCCAAGGGAUAAAGAUGAAAGAGGAUUUAGCUGAGAGCACUGACAAUGGUGAGGGGAGCUCUGCUUGUCGGGGUGAAAAAAGCGCCGAGAACCUGAGGUUUGAGCAGAGAAAAGAAAGGAAAAGCAGCUACUGUGGGUUUCCUUUCAGCAAGCUGUCAAUCAGGGGUUUAAUGAAGAAACAUUGUGCCUCUUCUGUUGGGGGAAAAAAAAUGGAGACGAUGUCAAAACAACAGGAAAGGUCCAUUUACAACCACUGACCUAUUAACAAUUGAUCCAACUCUGUCACGGAGUCCUGGCUGGGAAUGGGUGCGUUUGGAAUCCCACAAAUUUCAGGCUGCUGUUCACUCCCAAACACGCCAUCAAUUCCCAUGAAAGGGGAGAUCUUAAGUGCAAUCCAAGAAGAGGAAUUCCCUGAGACAGGGAGUUUUUGCCUCAAGGUCAGUGUGACCUGAAGGUCCAACCUCAGGCAGCUCAUGUGGGCGGAGAACAGCAGGAAUAAAACAAGAGGAGAUUCAACGCCAUGGAACCACGGUCAGAACCUCAGAAUUGAGGAUAAACCCCCUCAAACACCCAGGUUUAGAUGAUGAAGAUCACACCACCAGCACAGGACAAGCUCCUGCUGCACCCCUGCUUUCCUCAGCGCCUGUCCCUCCUGCCUCAGGCUGGGCCACCUCUGUGCUCAUGGCUAAAAUCCCAGAGAAUCAGUCCUGGGCCAGAUCCCUGCCUCCCUCCUGGGCUGGAAAAGACCUGACCUCUGCCCAAACUGAGCUGUGAAGUUGUGUGGUGCUGAAGAGAAGAGGCACAGCACUGACAACCUCGGCACACCUAAUGCAAACCCAAAGGAUUUGGUUUUCCUUUCACUCGUGGAAGGCUUUAUGGUUGUCUUGACAAGUAAAAUCCAACUUGGAACGGUGGGAAAGAAGGCAGAGGUUGAAUUUCUAUCAGCAAAACCCUUCCUGCUGCAAAAGAUAACCCAGUAAAUUGAUAAUCCUUGAAAUAAAUCCCUCUGUGAACCAACUGUGAUCACACUGGGACCUGGAGAAAACUCAAAGUCUAGAACACCCAUCUGCAGGGUGACCAAAGGCUGUGCUUAAAAAAGUCACAGAAAAAAUCUUAGACAAAGGUAUAAAGCUCUAAAGGAUGAGAAAAAUCUCCCACAGCCUGUGACUGUGUGCUCCUCCUGGGGGAUGAAGACACCAGCUUUCAAUAUGAUUUUGGGAGGCUGCACCUCAAAAGUGCCUGCUUUGAAGUCACCAGCAAGCAGAAAAUCUGGAGAUGAUUAAUUAAAUAGCACAAAACUCUCAGAAGAAUGACUGUGGCUUUUUGGGCAGGCACAUCCCUGGAAUCAGAGGUUUGAAGGAAGCCUCGUUCCUCCUGCCUGGAGCUCCCCUUUGGUGCUAAUUGCACCAAACCCCAGAAAGAACCAGGAGUUUGAACAUGUCCUGAUGAAAAUGCCACAUUUCUGUCAGGGGAAAGUGUGGGGAGAACCAGGGGCAGCAGGGCUGUGCCAGAGGAGCAGCAGCACCACCAGGAGAGCACCAGAGCCUCAUCCUCAUCCCAAGACCCAGCUCUGGGGACACCUGCCAGGUGUUUCUGUACCUUCAAUAACCCCGUCAGUCUCCCCUGAGGUCCCAACUGUCCCUCUGCUCCUUCGAGAUGGGCCAAAUUUGGGAAGCAGAGACUGGAGGGAGAGCAGCACAGGCACCACCAGGUUGUUUUUGGUGCUGGGGGAGGCCAGUGCAUCCCAUUCUGUGCCCCCAGCACACAGAAAUGUGUCAGGAGUGAAAAAGCUGCCAACUGUCACCCCUGGCCACAAAUCAUUUCCCAGACAGCAAGAACAUGAGCCAGGAGCAAGGAUGCAGUGGCCCAGAGUGAACCCAGAGAAUUUACCACCUAAUAAACAGCUGGGAAAGGCCUUUGGGAAGACAAAACUCUGAGCAAUUUGAUGACUGAUGGAGCUUUCAGAUCCACCUCACCUAAAGCUGCUCCAGGGCAGCAGCACCGCUGCUGAGAGAUCCUGAAAUCCUUUGCACACCGAAAGAAACAGCAACAGAAAAUCCCUACCGGAGCUGAGACUGCUUUGUGGUACCCAGAGAAAGGUUUUACAGUACAGCUAUAAAUACAGCCACAGGGUUUUAUUGCUACAACCACCCAAUUCCCCAAUAAAACCUUCUCCAAGAGCCACCAAGAGCCACGAGGGUUAAAGCUGUGUGGCUCGAGGCAAAAAAUCCACUGACACACCUGUGAUGGUGCAGGCUCUUCCCCAAAUCCUUACAACA